GAAGAAAGCGGGGGGCGUGCCUAAUACAUGCAAGUAGAACGCUGAAGAGAGGAGCUUGCUCUUCUUGGAUGAGUUGCGAACGGGUGAGUAACGCGUAGGUAACCUGCCUUGUAGCGGGGGAUAACUAUUGGAAACGAUAGCUAAUACCGCAUAACAAUGGAUGACACAUGUCAUUUAUUUGAAAGGGGCAAUUGCUCCACUACAAGAUGGACCUGCGUUGUAUUAGCUAGUAGGUGAGGUAAUGGCUCACCUAGGCGACGAUACAUAGCCGACCUGAGAGGGUGAUCGGCCACACUGGGACUGAGACACGGCCCAGACUCCUACGGGAGGCAGCAGUAGGGAAUCUUCGGCAAUGGGGGCAACCCUGACCGAGCAACGCCGCGUGAGUGAAGAAGGUUUUCGGAUCGUAAAGCUCUGUUGUAAGUCAAGAACGGGUGUGAGAGUGGAAAGUUCACACUGUGACGGUAGCUUACCAGAAAGGGACGGCUAACUACGUG
This 497-nucleotide ribosomal RNA is filed under the name uncultured bacterium. RNAcentral describes it as "partial 16S ribosomal RNA". It matches the Rfam family "Bacterial small subunit ribosomal RNA", at positions 28 to 507 of the family's 1533-position model. The record is from RNAcentral.